RNAcentral lists this transfer RNA (69 nucleotides) under Fukomys damarensis (Damara mole-rat). It matches the Rfam family "tRNA". From Rfam's summary of the family: Transfer RNA (tRNA) molecules are approximately 80 nucleotides in length. Their secondary structure includes four short double-helical elements and three loops (D, anti-codon, and T loops). The record is from Rfam by way of RNAcentral. Lineage: Eukaryota; Metazoa; Chordata; Mammalia; Rodentia; Bathyergidae.
AGGGGUAUAGCUCAGUGGCAGAGCAUAUGCCUAGCAUGCAUGAGGUCCUGGGUUUGAUCCCCAGCCCUG